This 324-nucleotide long non-coding RNA is filed under the name Prunus persica (peach). Its description in RNAcentral is "long non-coding RNA (PPER_LNC007632)". The record is from RNAcentral. Lineage: Eukaryota; Viridiplantae; Streptophyta; Magnoliopsida; Rosales; Rosaceae.
AACAAGAAACCCAAAAAGCAUCCCAUUAAAACAAGUUUCUGCCAAUGUACACCGCACAUGCCACCUCCAAAAAUAUACAAAUAUAUACUGAUGCAUUAAUUCAUUUAAGCCUACAUAUUAACAAUAUAGUUUUUCUAUUUAAAUCCCACAUUUCUCUUUCUUCACUUUAUAUUCUAAGUUCACUCCAACUUCUAAUUUAAAUUUCCACAGUUUCUAAAAAAACCCCACUAUCUUCCCAAACUACCCCUAAAUUAAUACACACCUAACAUAAAAAAAAAAAUUAUAAAAAACUCAUCAACCUCGCACCCCACACCCCGCUAUCUU